GACUAACGUUGGCGGCGUGCCUAAUACAUGCAAGUCGAACGAGGUACCUUCGGGUACCUAGUGGCGAACGGGUGAGUAACACGUGGGUGAUUUACCCUUUGGACUGGGACAACUAGCCGAAAGGUUAGCUAAUACCGGAUAAGACCACAGCUCAUAAUAGAGCAGCGGUUAAAGGUGGGGAUCUUCGGACCUACCACCAGAGGAUAAGCCCGCGGCUGAUUAGUUUGAUGGUGGGGUAACGGCCUACCAUGGCGAUGAUCAGUAGCCGGCCUGAGAGGGUGAACCGGUCACACUGGAACUGAGACACGGUCCAG
Molecule: ribosomal RNA, 314 nt
Filed under: uncultured bacterium
Lineage: Bacteria
Description: bacterial SSU rRNA
Rfam family: Bacterial small subunit ribosomal RNA
Source: RNAcentral